Molecule: transfer RNA, 66 nt
Filed under: Heteropterus morpheus
Lineage: Eukaryota; Metazoa; Arthropoda; Insecta; Lepidoptera; Hesperiidae
Description: tRNA-Cys
Source: RNAcentral
AGCUUUAUAUUCAAAAAUGAUUUAAAAUUGCAAAUUUUAAGGAGUAGUUAAAAUAUACUAAGGCUU